CGGACGGGUGAGUAAUGUCUGGGAAACUGCCCGAUGGGAGGGGGUAACUACUGGAAACGGUAGCUAAUACCGCAUAACGUCGCAAGACCAAGAGGGGACCUUCGGGCCUCUUGCCAUCGGAUGUGCCCAGAUGGGAUUAGCUAGUAGGUGGGGUAACGGCUCACCUAGGCGACGAUCCCUAGCUGGUCUGAGAGGAUGACCAGCCACACUGGAACUGAGACACGGUCCAG
RNAcentral lists this ribosomal RNA (230 nucleotides) under uncultured bacterium. RNAcentral describes it as "partial 16S ribosomal RNA". It matches the Rfam family "Bacterial small subunit ribosomal RNA", at positions 99 to 334 of the family's 1533-position model. The record is from RNAcentral.